CACACAAUCAUCAAGCACUCUCAUAAAUCCUUGCUGACUUAAGGACAGCGGAAGAUUGCCUUCUUUGGUAGUAUUAAUUAUAAGGAAGCAAGGUUGACUAUGGCCAACAGCCCCAAAGUCAUGAAGCUGGUGACCGAAAAUACAGAGGAUAGAGGAACAAGUUAGAUGACAUGGCAAGGAAGCAACCAGCCAAAGCAGAAUGUGGGUCAUUGCCCAGGAUAACUCAUUCAAUUCCUCAAAAAUAUCAACGCAUAAUAGAGAGAGAGAGACAGAGAGAGAAACAGAGAGCACAAGAGACAAAGAGAAGAUGAAAAAGGAGAAGGGGAGGGAGAUGAUUAAAGACUAAAAAAGAUCAAAGAGAUACAGCAACGCAAUAAAAGACAGGGUCUCCCUCUGUUGCCCAGGCUCGAAUGCCGUAGUGCAGUCAUAGCUCACUGCAAUCUCCAACUCCAAGACUCAAGCAAUCCUCUGGCCUCAGCCCCAUUUUCUUUUAUUAUAAAUGUAG
Gorilla gorilla gorilla (western lowland gorilla) is the source of this 505-nucleotide long non-coding RNA. RefSeq lists it as uncharacterized. The record is from RefSeq and is a predicted model, not a curated record. Lineage: Eukaryota; Metazoa; Chordata; Mammalia; Primates; Hominidae. The transcript is spliced from 4 exons.